RNAcentral lists this ribosomal RNA (468 nucleotides) under uncultured bacterium. RNAcentral's name for it is "partial 16S ribosomal RNA". It matches the Rfam family "Bacterial small subunit ribosomal RNA", at positions 28 to 507 of the family's 1533-position model. The record is from RNAcentral.
GACGAACGCUGGCGGCGUGCCUAAUACAUGCAAGUCGAACGGUAAGGCGCUGAUCUUGUGGGGUGCUCGUGUGGCGAACGGGUGAGUAUAACGCGUGUAUACUGCCCUUUACUGUGGGAGAACUUCAGGAAACUGGGGAGAAAAUCGGACAGGAGAUCCGGCUGCAUGGGGGGGGUAGGAAAGAUUCGGAGGUUUGGGAUGGACGCGAGGCUCAUCAGCUUGUUGGUGGGGAAGUGGCUUACCAAGGCAUCGACGGGUCGCCGGCCUGAGAGGGUGACCGGCCACAUUGGGACUGGGAUACGGGCCAGACGCCUACGGGAGGCAGGAGUGGGGAAUAUUGCACGAUGGGCGGAAGCCUGAUGCAGCAACGCCGCGUGCGGGAGGACGGCCGUCGGGUUGUAAACCGCUUGAGCCUGGGACGAAGCGUGAGUGACGGUAGUGGGUAAAGAAGCACCGGCUAACUACGUG